CAGUCGCCACGGUAAUACGGAGGGGGCUAGCGUUACUCGGAAUUACUGGGCGUAAAGCGUGCGUAGGAGGUGGUUUAAGUCCGUUGUGAAAGCCCUGGGCUCAACCUGGGAAUUGCAGUGGAUACUGGAUCACUAGAGUGUGGUAGAGGAUAGUGGAAUUUCCGGUGUAGCAGUGAAAUGCGUAGAGAUCGGAAGGAACAUCUGUGGCGAAGGCGACUAUCUGGGCCAACACUGACACUGAGGCACGAAAGCGUGGGGAGCAAACAGGAUUAGAUACCCCUGUAGUCCCUGUCUCUUAUAC
This 301-nucleotide ribosomal RNA is filed under the name uncultured bacterium. RNAcentral describes it as "partial 16S ribosomal RNA". It matches the Rfam family "Bacterial small subunit ribosomal RNA", at positions 509 to 807 of the family's 1533-position model. The record is from RNAcentral.